Molecule: ribosomal RNA, 253 nt
Filed under: uncultured bacterium
Lineage: Bacteria
Description: partial 16S ribosomal RNA
Rfam family: Bacterial small subunit ribosomal RNA
Source: RNAcentral
UACAGAGGUCCCAAGCGUUGUUCGGAUUCACUGGACGUAAAGGGUGCGUAGGCGGUCGGGUAAGUCUGGCGUGAAAUCUCCAAGCCUAACUUGGAAACUGCGUUGGAUACUAUCCGGCUCGAGGAAUGGAGGGGAGACUGGAAUACUUGGUGUAGCAGUGAAAUGCGUAGAUAUCAAGUGGAACACCAGUGGCGAAGGCGAGUCUCUGGACAUUUCCUGACGCUGAGGCACGAAAGCCAGGGGAGCAAACGGG